GUUCGGAGGCUCCUGCAUCAGCUUCGGGGCUUCGGCUAUCUCAUACAAUACUUCUACUUGAGGGCUUCAGCUAACUUCAACCAGCUUCAGCAUCAUGGCUUUGGCUCAUAGGCCUCAGCAUGUGGACCUCAGUUACAUUCACAGGCCUCGGUAAAAAUCGUCUCAGCUAGUGGACUUUGACUUGAAGAGCUUCUGCCAUAGCCCACCUCGGCAAUAUAUGCCACCUCGACUGGAGUGCCACGUGGUUCGGCUUGAGUGGGCCAUUGGCCCAGGUAGGUUGGCCAAGUAUGACAACACACAAUAGAGUCUGUGCGGAGAGAGAGUCAAGGGCAGAAGGGUGCGCCCUCGCGGAGCUCUGGCUCAGGCCUGAAUUUGAAUUAUGAGUCUAUGAAUACUCAGUCACAUCCACAGAUCCCAGACUAUGGUACCAUAGAUUGAUACUUCACGUUAAUAUCGGAAAACGGCCUCGCGAUGAGUGAAAUUGAGGAGCUGGAGCACAAAUUCCAUAUCCACCCAUUUACGAAAAGAUGUGAAGAAGAGUGUGACAGUUCUCAUGUGGGCUUUGCGCAAUUCCGGUGGAAGGAAAAUUUCCAUAUUCAUCAACCAGCUCAGAAGAUUCUCAUGGACGCGAGUCAGUACUAUAUUUCUUGGCUCUAUUUGGUUUUUCGAGUAACUGUUUAUUUGUAUUUUCCAGGAGAUGAUGGUUCAGAUUGAUUGAAUGUUGUUUAUUAAGAUUUGGCUUCCACUGGAUGUAGGAUUUGCCCAUUAUCAAACAAUGUGAUUUAUAUUUAGUUUUAUUAUUUGGUGUUUU
Long non-coding RNA from Olea europaea var. sylvestris, 811 nucleotides. RefSeq lists it as uncharacterized. The record is from RefSeq and is a predicted model, not a curated record. The transcript has 2 exons. NCBI's taxonomy places the organism in Eukaryota, Viridiplantae, Streptophyta, Magnoliopsida, Lamiales, Oleaceae.